UACGUAGGGGCUAGCGUUAUCCGGAAUUACUGGGCGUAAAGGGUGCGUAGGUGGUUUCUUAAGUCAGAGGUGAAAGGCUACGGCUCAACCGUAGUAAGCCUUUGAAACUGGGAAACUUGAGUGCAGGAGAGGAGAAUGGAAUUCCUAGUGUAGCGGUGAAAUGCGUAGAGAUUAGGAAGAACACCAGUGGCGAAGGCGAUUCUCUGGACUGUAACUGACGCUGAGGCUCGAAAGCGUGGGGAGCAAACAGGAUUAGAUACCCGGGUAGUCCCUGAGCGGG
Molecule: ribosomal RNA, 280 nt
Filed under: uncultured prokaryote
Description: partial 16S ribosomal RNA
Rfam family: Bacterial small subunit ribosomal RNA
Source: RNAcentral